RNAcentral lists this ribosomal RNA (695 nucleotides) under uncultured archaeon. RNAcentral describes it as "bacterial SSU rRNA". It matches the Rfam family "Archaeal small subunit ribosomal RNA", at positions 102 to 797 of the family's 1478-position model. The record is from RNAcentral.
GGAUAACCUACCCUUAGGACCGGGAUAACCCUGGGAAACUGGGGAUAAUACUGGAUAGGCAAUUUUUCCUGUAAUGGUUUUUUGUUUAAAUGUUUUUUCGCCUAAGGAUGGGUCUGCGGCCGAUUAGGUAGUUGGUUAGGUAAUGGCUUACCAAGCCGUUGAUCGGUACGGGUUGUGAGAGCAAGAGCCCGGAGAUGGAACCUGAGACAAGGUUCCAGGCCCUACGGGGUGCAGCAGGCGCGAAACCUCCGCAAUGUGAGAAAUCGCGACGGGGGGAUCCCAAGUGCCAUUCUUAACGGGAUGGCUUUUCAUUAGUGUAAAAAGCUUUUGGAAUAAGAGCUGGGCAAGACCGGUGCCAGCCGCCGCGGUAACACCGGCAGCUCUAGUGGUAGCAAUUUUUAUUGGGCCUAAAGCGUCCGUAGCCGGUUUAAUAAGUCUCUGGUGAAAUCCUGCAGCUUAACUGUGGGAAUUGCUGGAGAUACUAUUAGACUUGAGACCGGGAGAGGUUAGAGGUACUCCCAGGGUAGAGGUGAAAUUCUGUAAUCCUGGGAGGACCGCCUGUUGCGAACGCGUCUAACUGGAACGGUUCUGACGGUGAGGGACGAAAGUUAGGGGCGCGAACCGGAUUAGAUACCCGGGUAGUCCUAACUGUAAACGAUGCGGACUUGGUGUUGGGGUGGCUUUGAGCUGCUCCA